GAAAGUGUUUCAAGCCAUUUCCUGAAGAACUUAGAUUUUUGAUUACUUAGACUGAAUCAUCCUGUUGUUCUGGCAUGGCUUUGAUCCUUCAAUGAACGGUUCAAAGAGCGAUGGCACACUUUUCUUAAGACAUGCACCAGGACUACAGGAAUUUCCUGAAUUGCUUGAUAACUGGCUUACCUUUCUUUUCCGUUCUGCUGCUUGUUGUGGAUACCGCUUCUUCAGGAAUCAUUUAGGCACAGACAAU
This 247-nucleotide unclassified non-coding RNA is filed under the name Hevea brasiliensis (rubber tree). Lineage: Eukaryota; Viridiplantae; Streptophyta; Magnoliopsida; Malpighiales; Euphorbiaceae. The record is from RNAcentral.